CCUACGGGUGGCAGCAGUGAGGAAUAUUGGUCAAUGGGCGCGAGCCUGAACCAGCCAAGUAGCGUGAAGGAUGAAUGCCCUACGGGUUGCAAACCUCUUUUAUAAAGGAAUAAAGUGAGGCACGUGUGCCUUUUUGUAUGUACUUUAUGAAUAAGGAUCGGCUAACUCCGUGCCAGCAGCCGCGGUAAUACGGAGGAUCCGAGCGUUAUCCGGAUUUAUUGGGUUUAAAGGGAGCGUAGAUGGGUUGUUAAGGCAGGUGUGAAAGUUUGCGGCUCAACCGUAAAAGUGCAAUUGAUACUGGCAGUCUUGAGUGCGGUUGAGGUAGGCGGAAUGCGUGGUGUAGCGGUGAAAUGCUUAGAUAUCGCGAAGAACUCCGAUUGCGAAGGCAGCUUACUAAGCUGCCACUGACAUUGAUGCACGAAAGUGUGGGUAUCAAACAGGAUUAGAUACCCCUGUAGUC
RNAcentral lists this ribosomal RNA (460 nucleotides) under uncultured bacterium. RNAcentral describes it as "partial 16S ribosomal RNA". It matches the Rfam family "Bacterial small subunit ribosomal RNA", at positions 338 to 795 of the family's 1533-position model. The record is from RNAcentral.